UUAUCAAUAACACUUUCUAUACUUAAAGGUGAAAAAUCAGAGAGUCACCAAAUAGAAUCAUCGAGAAGAAAAAAAAACACCUAGGAAAAACAAAGGGUUGAAAGUCGACCACCGUUGUGCGACUUUCAACACCACCUCUCUCUCUCUCUCUCUCUCUCUCUCUCUUCUCUCUGUUUCGUACCCCUCUUUCCUCAAAAGUCGAUUUAGAUCUGUGUUUUUGGUGGACGAUGUUUGUACCAAACCCUAAUUUUCGUUUGGUGUGUUGACCGUGAGUUUACAGACAGCCCUGUCCCGUGUUCUCCGAUUAGCUCUCCAGCAGCCAUCUACGGCGGAGGUUUGUUCCACCGUGAAGUGUCAGCUAUAGUGGUGGACUUGGGUUCACACACUUGCAAGGCUAGCAACGUCGGCGAAGAUGCUCCCAAGGCCGUUUUCCCUUCCGUUGUUGGGGCAGUAGCGAUGGAUGUGGAUGUUGAUUCUUCAAAGACAAAUUCCAAUUCCGAGGAUCCGAAGUCUGAAAAGGGGAAGGGUGAACGCAAGCUCUACGUGGGAUCUCAAGCCUUGAAUUACUGCAGGGAUCAAAGACGGAGUUGUCUGAUUAUUGAUCCUAAGGAGCAUCCAAUGCUGCUAGCUGAGCCUCCUUUAAACACUCAACAAGCUGUAGACUACUCUGCUUUCAGGUUCUUAUGAUUUUACUCAUGUCUGUAAUCUGCAGGUUUCAAGAUCCUCGGGUUGCAAGACAGACUCUCUAACAGAGUGGGAUAUUCCUUCUGGUGACACCUCUUAUUGAGUAUGUGAGGACUUAAACCAAGCCAAAAGAAGGGACGUUGUUACUUGCUCUUCUCAAUAUCGGUUUCUGUUCUCUUUCUAAAGGAUUGUUGUUCAUCUUUCUCAUCGCUACAGGGCUUGGAAACUCGAUCUGAGUUAUCAUCGUUUUUAUUUCCAUAGUUCUCCCUCUGCUUGAUAUACAUAUUCUUCUUCUGCCCUAGGUGUUCUUAACGAGGCCAGUUUGUUGUGGUUCAGUAACACACAACUCCAACGCAACUAGAAAUGAACCAAUGAAGUCAAAGACGUCUUGCGACAGAGCCUGUCUUCUCUUCAACGCUGGAUCUGAAGAAACUGUGGUGUGGAGAUGGCAGAGGAAGCUAGCUGUGGUGGUGGGAACUGAGCAAGAAUAAGAAGAAGAGAGGAGGAGAAGGAGUCAAGGAGAGAAGACAGAGACACAGAGGAAGAACAGGAUGCGGCGAGGUAGAUGGAAGAGGAAUCUAGCAAUGGUGGUAGAGAUGGAGCCAAGCAAGAAGAAGAGAUAGGUGGCGGCACUAGAAGAUAGAACAUGAAUGCCUUAGAAAUUUUAGGUUUUUUUGGGAUACUGAUGUAAAUACAUUUUGGUUUAUUAAUGAAAUAUAAAUUAAAUAUUA
This is a long non-coding RNA of Brassica napus (rape), 1415 nucleotides long. RefSeq lists it as uncharacterized. The record is from RefSeq and is a predicted model, not a curated record. NCBI's taxonomy places the organism in Eukaryota, Viridiplantae, Streptophyta, Magnoliopsida, Brassicales, Brassicaceae. The transcript is spliced from 9 exons.